UGGGCCUACGGGAGGCAGCAGUGGGGGAUAUUGGACAAUGGGGGGAACCCUGAUCCAGCGACGCCGCGUGAGUGAAGAAGUAUUUCGGUAUGUAAAGCUCUGUCAGCAGGGAAGAAAGAAAUGACGGUACCUGACCAAGAAGCCCCGGCUAACUACGUGCCAGCAGCCGCGGUAAUACGUAGGGGGCAAGCGUUAUCCGGAAUUACUGGGUGUGAAGGGAGCGUAGACGGUUAAGUAAGUCUGGAGUGAUGGGCCGGGGCCCA
This 263-nucleotide ribosomal RNA is filed under the name uncultured bacterium. RNAcentral describes it as "partial 16S ribosomal RNA". It matches the Rfam family "Bacterial small subunit ribosomal RNA", at positions 334 to 611 of the family's 1533-position model. The record is from RNAcentral.